Small nucleolar RNA from Lathyrus oleraceus (garden pea), 109 nucleotides. NCBI's taxonomy places the organism in Eukaryota, Viridiplantae, Streptophyta, Magnoliopsida, Fabales, Fabaceae. The record is from RefSeq and is a predicted model, not a curated record.
AAGCUCAUGGAAAGGGCAAAGUCUUAACAAAUCUUAUGUAAUGCUCUCAUGCAUCAAACAAGGAUUCCCCAUCUUAUUACCUAAAAUUUGUUUAUCUCAUUCCUAACUU